UAGAUAAAUAUUAAAUGUAUAUCCUGCCCUAUGAUUAAUUUUAAAUGGCUGCAGUAUUUUGACUGUGCAAAGGUAGCAUAAUAAUUAGUCUUUUAAUUGUGGACUGGAAUGAAUGGUUUAAUGAAUGAUUUAUUUUAUUAAUUUUAGUUUUAUAAUUUAAUUUUUAAGUAAAAAAGCUUAAAUUUAUUUUUGGGACGAUAAGACCCUAUAGAACUUAAAUUAAUUUUAAAAUUUAACAAUUUUAAGUUUUUUUAAUAUUAAUUUUAAUGUUUUUUUUUGUUGGGGUGACAGAUAAAUUUAACUUUAUUUAUUUUUAUCAUUAAUUUAUGUUUAAUUGAUCCAUUAUUUGAUUUUAAGAUUAAGUUACCUUAGGGAUAACAGCGUAAUUUAAAUGGGGAGUUCAUAUCUAUAUUUAAGUUUGCGACCUCGAUGUUGAAUUAAGGUUAAUUUAGGGGGUAG
This 459-nucleotide ribosomal RNA is filed under the name Plesiommata tripunctata. RNAcentral's name for it is "partial large subunit ribosomal RNA". Lineage: Eukaryota; Metazoa; Arthropoda; Insecta; Hemiptera; Cicadellidae. The record is from RNAcentral.